GGAAUUUGAUUAGAAAAAUAUGUAGAAUUUAAAUAUGAUAUUAUUUUAUCUGUUAAACGUUUAAUAAAAAUACUAUCUACGGUGCAAUCUUAAUAAAUAAGUCAUUAUUUGUCUUUCUUUCAUACCGGUACUCAUCCGGGUUGGGGAUGAACACGUCAACAAAAUCAGGAUUAGAGAUGAAACUGAAGGUCACUUGACUGAUUCUUUGUACGUAUUAAAUCUACAUGCAAGCCGUGUUAAAAUAGAAGACCUCUGAAAUUUUGAACUGCAUUUUUGUAGGAUAAGACAAUCUUUAUUUGUGUCGUAACUACAAAUUCUCAGAUUAUAGACCAUUUUUUAUAAAUUAAGAGCGUGUGGUAUUUCUUUCUCCCGUUGCAAUGC
Molecule: long non-coding RNA, 381 nt
Filed under: Hordeum vulgare
Lineage: Eukaryota; Viridiplantae; Streptophyta; Magnoliopsida; Poales; Poaceae
Description: long non-coding RNA (HVUL_LNC013263)
Source: RNAcentral